Molecule: long non-coding RNA, 1521 nt
Filed under: Dromaius novaehollandiae (emu)
Lineage: Eukaryota; Metazoa; Chordata; Aves; Casuariiformes; Dromaiidae
Description: lncRNA (ENSDNVG00000010264.1)
Source: RNAcentral
AGCGACUGUGCUACUUUAUGUCCAGCUGCGUGAGUAGCUGCGCUGCAGCUGUAACUAUUUUUUAUGGGUUUCGGCACGUGAAGUACAGCGCGCUAUAAGCAGCGGUGGCUUUUUGCUUUUCCAGUUUAUGCUCUCUACUGCGUAUGCCAGAGGAAACUGUUUUUUCCUGAAUCAGUGGAGAUGUCUCCAAUCAUUUGUGUUCCUGCGUUGUUGCCAAUGAGCACGUCUGUUGGAGAGAGCGGAUAAGGGCUUUCCUUGCCACCUGCAGAUGCAAGGAGCGUUGGUGGCAGGAGUUGACAUGUCCCAUCACAGCGCUCGGUGCCUUCCUCCCCGCAGAAGACCCGUGGGCCGAGACGACGGCCGGGCGGCUCCCCACAGCGCCCGGCGGUUUUGGGUCGUUUGCCGAGAAAUGGGUGUUUUUGCCCGAACCGACGUGCGCGGCGGCRGCGGUGCGAUAGAGGCGACGGCUGUUUUGCACCUCAGGUCUUCUCACCACCGCAGCUCUGAGCCCUGUUCACACCUCCGUCCUCGCCACCCGCUCCAUCACCAGCUCUGCAGCUCGCGUCGCGAUGCCGCCGAGGUCGUCAGGCGGCUGUGGGCUCCCGGGGCCCAAGCGAGCCCCCCCGGCCGAAGCGGGGCGGCUGCCCCAGCCGGGAUGGAGACCACCCUGCGCCGAGCGAAGCCGCCCCGCUUCGCUUCUCCUCCGGAAGGGCUCCUUGCCCGUGCGGCACCGCCUUGGCCACUGGAAACCGGCUUUUGAACCCAUUAAAAAAAGCAGAGCCCAAACCUCGCGUCCCCGUAGCUGCUUCUGGAGCCGCGGCGGGGCGCGGGGCGCGUGCAGCUCCAUGCACCGGGUUCCUAGCCCCAAGGGCGAGCGUUGCACGGUGAUCGGGUCACGCUCGGGAUGCGUUUGGUGAGGAGCAUCUGCUGCRCGGGUGGGGAGGUUGGCUGGGAGCUUUUGGUGACAGACACCCUAAAAUACCUCUCCUGCUUCGCACCUGAAGCUCGGAUUUGCUCAGGUGUGUUGGCAGGCUUCAUUUCUCCUUUGGGCGUGUAACACGUCUGCUSACCCGUGUCGCUCGGCAGCUCCUCUCCGUCCGCACGUCGCGCUGGAGGAGACGAGGGCCGGGUUCGCGCUGGAAGCCGCCGGCAGCGGAGCAGCCCCGCGGGAAGGCCCCUCCGCCGCGCUCGCUUCCCCUUUCUGCAGCCCCGCGCACGCCUCUGCGCAGCGUCGCGGCGGCCGAGCUAUAAAAAAAGAAAAGAAAAGCAAAAAAAAAAAGGCCGUGCGGCUUUGGCGAUGCUCACUUCAGGCUUGCGGUUAGCGUUUCCCAGGCGGCGCGGGGGUGAGCGCGAGUUCAGCCGCUGCCGCCCUCUCUGAAUGACUCCGGCGGGCCUCCGCGGUGCCCGGCGGGCUGCAACCUCGCGUGCUCGACGCUGUGGGUUACUCAAGGAGCAACUGGUGGGUUAAGCGCAGAGCCGUGCGUUGCCGCCCCUUUCCUUCCCUCCUUCGCGCUGCAAUGG